This 11644-nucleotide long non-coding RNA is filed under the name Mytilus galloprovincialis (Mediterranean mussel). The record is from RNAcentral. Lineage: Eukaryota; Metazoa; Mollusca; Bivalvia; Mytilida; Mytilidae.
CAAAGAAAACCGAAAGGAGGAAAUAUUUAGCGCCAUAAACACACCAAACAACUCUGACAUAGUAUUUUGAUCGUUUUCGAUAUUAUAGAUCUUGAAAAGAAAUAGAAUAACCUUAGAGACGGUAAAAGUGUUUCACAAUCUUAAAUGAUGAAUUUAUAACUUAAAUAUGUAGGAUAUGAUGGAGGUUUCUUUGUUGUGAUGAUAUUGAAAUUUUAAGUUUCCAAAUUUUAUUGUUCAAAUCAAUUUACGUAAACAAAGAGAUCUGACAUAAACCCAGCCUAUUUACAUUCAUUCUCAUUAAAGAUGUAUAGAUUAAUACUUGUUUUAAAAGCACAGGCACUUGUUUCUAUCCAUUGGAAGACCCACUAUCAACGUAUAUUUACGAGAAGGUACCCAACUACUUUUUUCACCUCUCCGCUUAAAACCCUUAUUUCUAUGUCAAUUCAGUCUCAAUUUUUUGUUCCAUACACCAUUCGAUUCAUGAAAAGUUUAUCUUUCAGAUGAUAUGCAUUGUAUUUAUCCUUAGAGUACCCCUUACCCCCAGUCCACAAGAUUUGUCAAUAAAUUUCCAUGUUAUAAUUUUAGUUCUCCUACAAAAUACAACAACAACCGGUUUAAAGCAGAAAAAUUCAAAACCGCUUGUGAUUGGUGGGGUUCAUAGUUCAUAGGGUCAUUACUCUCUAGAUUUUACAUUAAUCAUUUGUGACUCUUUAGAUUUAUCCUUCACUGUUUUAUGCAAAUUAUCUAAAACGGAAGUAGUUGUAUUUUGUAGGAGGACUAAAAACGAUUACAUGAAAAUUCAUUGACAAAUCUUGUGGACUGGGGGUAAGGGGUACUCUAAGGGUAAAUGCAAUGCAUAUCAUCUGAAAGAUAAACAUUUCAUGAAUCGAAUGGUGUAUGGAACAAAAAAAUUGAGACUGAAUUGACAUAGAAAUAAGGAUUUUAAGCGGAGAGGUGAAAAAAGUAGUUGGGUACCUUCUCGUAAAUAUACGUUGAUAGUGGGUCUUCCAAUGGAUAGAAACAAGUGCCUGUGUUUAAAAGACAUUAAUUCAGACUACACGAAUGAAUUUUAUUUUUACAGGACAUUCUGGUAAGCAUCCUAGCUUUACCAGACCAAAUGAAAUUUUACCAGACCAAUUUUUUUUACAUCUAAUUGUAUAUUAUCCGACAAAAAACAACAAACAUAUGACUUUGUUGUGCCCUACUCCUCCCCAAAAUGCACAAAUUAAAACAAAAUGAUGUAACAAGAGGGUAUAUUGUUAUAAAAGUUGUGCACAAUUGCUUGAAAGCAUUAAUUUCAGCUGAGAUUUCAGUGAAGAGUAAUGUCUCAUUUUAUUGGAUUUUGACAACGUUUGUGAACUAAACAUAAUUUAGAGUUUCUGUAUAAAAUAUUAUUUCCUGUUUCUUCUUUCUUUUUCAUAUAUCUUUUGGUUUUCAAUUCUAGUGUUUAUAUUUCAUAGCUAAAUUUUGUGAUUUGCUUGGAUUUUUAUUCAUUUAUUGUAUUUAAUCGGCAAACCUGGAAUUAUCCUUAUCCGUUCCCAGAAUCUGAUCCGGUUUUAUUUACAUUUCUGGUUGUGCCAAUGAUGGCAUCCAUUGUUGUUUUUGACAGUGAGAUAUGUUUUCACCCGGAUUUACACAUUACUGGUUGGCGAUGUUCGGCAUAAAGCUAGCGGUUGAACAAAAUAAACAUCGCUGUGAUGAAUAAUAAAGAUGAAAAUGAAUUUGAGAUCGUUUGGCAAUUUUGCUAGAAUGUUAGAAAAAUCCAUGAAAAAAAACACCGGACAUUCAGACCAGAAUUCAACAAAAUUUUACCAGACCGAUCCAUUAUUCACUGGAAUUGUCCGACGUAUUUCGGGUAGUCUGAUAAUUAAUAAUUCCCUCCACUCCCAUUUCGAUGUAAUAAAACAAAACUCAACACAUAAGUAAUGAUAAUCAUAUUUUGGCAAAAUAAAAAAUUUACAAUCAUACAUACAUGUACUGUAUGUCAUAAAUAAUUUCUCAUUUUAAGUCCAUAUUCUUGAUAUUUAUUAAUUUCUAAAAUAUAUAAAUGCACCAGUCACUUUCCAAACAGACAUCACAUUCAUCAAUCUGCAUUAUCUGAAAAAGACUAACUUCUUUGAUUUAAUAAGGUAUAACUCAUGUACAAAAAUCAAAUAAUACAAAAUAAAAUGGGCGGGAGGGUGGGUAAAUUUAACGUGUUGAAUUGACCAGUCAACUAUUCGAAAUGACCAUGGAAUAUUUGAAAUAUGAAAAUUUACCUGAAGUGAACAGGUAUUUCUAUUAACCAAUCAAAUGCGGUUAAAUUACGAACGAUAAAUUUUGUACAAACAGGUAACGAGUAAUGUCGAAAGGUAACGAGUAAUGUCAAAAACAUCCGAGAUGGAAUUAAGUAUUUUUAAUUAAUUAAAAAUUUACCAAUGAGGUUUCACAUUGAGUUGGAGUAGGGGACGCAAAUUCUUCCUUUAUGUUUUAAUUGAAUACAUAAUGGGAGUGGAAGUUUCCACUGGCUUCGUUUUCCCAUUGUCUACCCAAGUACUGGGAUAUUGGACAAACUAUGUAAAACACUUAAAUAUAAACUAGAUGUUUAUUUAAAGACAUACAUUAUGGUUGAAUAUAAGUUACAUACAAGAAUAAUACAAUAUAUGGUGGUGGCUAGUCUACUUGUCAUUAUGAAGUUCCAUAUUUGCAAGCCAAAUUGUAUGAGCGUCUGCUCAUUUCAAAUUCUAAAUGUAGACUGCCCCAAACCCUGUAAGUGACGUCAUCAUGGUCAUACUUAUAGUUCCUAAGGACAACUCUACCAGACAGAUGUCGGGCACGUGCAAGAAGCAGGAAGUCCCGACAAGAAUAAUUUACAUGGCCGGUUUUCAGGAGAGAGAGUUAUGGAACCAUAAAUAAUGCUAACAUUUUUUUCCCCAAAUAAAUAGAAUAAACAAGUAAACAAAGUGACCACCAUUACAAAUAUAAAUCACUUCUUCUGCUAAAUAUGGUAAACAUGUACGCCUUCUCAACUUUCAAUAUUCUAAUGCAACUAUUUUGUAAUAUUCUAAUGCAACUAUUUUGUAUCAAUGGUUCUGAUUAGAUUACUAUGUGUAAAAUUCUCUAUCUCCUUGUCAAUUGUUAACAUAUAUGUGUUCUGCCUAACAGAAGUUCCAAUGGAAACUUUGUUAUAAACAUUGUCAUAAAAAAUAUCUAUUCCUGUUAAAGCAAAUAUUCUAUACCAUUUAUUCCGUAAGGAACAUAAACUGUAAUAUUUAUUCCAGUGGGAUUAAUAUUCCAGAAUAUUUUUAUACGACCCCAAAAAAAUUUUGGGUUCGUAUAAUGGUAUGAUGUCGUCGUCUGCGUCGUCUACGUUGUCGUCCGAAGACACUUUGGUUUCCGGAUAAUAACUUUAGUUUAAGUAGAUAGAUUUUAAUGAAAUUUUUUCAGAAGGUUCAAUACCACAAAAGGAAGGUUGGGAUUUAUUUUGGGGAUGAUGGUCCGAACCGUUUAGGAAUUAGGGGCCCAAAAGGGGCCAAAACAAGCAUUUUUCUAGUUUCAGGAUAACUUGUUUACCAGUAUUUCAAUUGCUCUGAAAGUAUACUGCAACGUUUAAAAUCACAAGUAGAAGGUUUGGAUUCAUUUAAGGGGUUAUGGGGCCAAAGUUUAGGAAUCAAGGGCCAAAAAGGGGCCAAAACAAGCAUUUUUAUACGACCGCAAAAAUUUUUAAUUUUUCGUCGUAUAUUGCUAUCACGUUGGCGUCGUCUUGCGUCGUCGUCGUCCGAAUACUUUUAGUUUUCGCACUCUUAACUUUAGUAAAAGUGAAUAGUAAUCUAUGAAAUUUUAACACAAGGUUUAUGACCACAAAAGGAAGGUUGGGAUUGAUUUUGGGAGUUUUGGUCCCAACAUUUUAGGAAUUAGGGGCCAAAAAGGGCCCAAAUAAGCAUUUUCUUGGUUUUCGCACUAUAACUUUAGUUUAAGUAAAUUAAAAUCUAUAAAAUUUUGACACAAAAUUUAUGACCACAAAAGAAAGGUUGGGAUUGAUUUUGGGAGUUUUGGUUCCAACAGUUUAGGAGUUAGGGGCCAAAAAAGGGCCCAAAUAAGCAUUAUUCUUGUUUUUCGUACAAUAACUUUAGUAUAAGUAAAUAGAAAUCAAUGAAAUUUAAACACAAGGUUUAUGAACACAAAAGGAAGGUUGGGAUUGAUUUUGGGAGUUUUGGUCCCAACAGUUUAGGAAUUAGGGGCCAAAAAGGGGCCCAAAUAAGCAUUAUUCUUGGUUUUCUCACCAUAACUUUAGUAUAAGUAAAUAGAAAUCUAUGAAUUUAAACACAAGGUUUAUGACCAUAAAAGGAAGGUUGGGUUUGAUUUUGGGAGGUUUGGUCCCAACAGUUUAGGAAUAAGGGGCCCAAAGGGUCCAAAAUUGAACUUUGUUUGAUUUCAUCAAAAUUGAAUAAUUGGGGUUCUUUGAUAUUCUGAAUCCUAACUGUGUAUGUAGAUUCUUAAUUUUUGGUCCCGUUUUCAAAUUGGUCUACAUUAAAGGGAAAAUUCGCGAUUUUUUACUUAUGGUUUAAAUAUGUUCAUUAUGACAAAAUAUAUAUAUUCACAAAGUUUUAUCGCUAUAUGUCCAGUAAUAAAGGAGAAAUUCAACAAUUAAUGAAAAAUUAUUAACUACUUCCUGUAGGUCGUGACGUUUUCUCCUGGUUUUUGCAUGCCGGGAUUUAAAAUACAAUCAGUAAAAGUCUUGGUUUUUAAUGAUAUUUAAACGUAAUCGUAAGCGCGCGAAUGACUUAUGGUUUAUCUAAUAAACAUCCGAUAAUAAGAAGAUAAGACGCACAGACGUGCAAUUGUACACAUUCAUGAGAUAAAUUUUCUAUGUUAAACGUAUAUAUUCGAAUUAUUUAUUCAGACAACCAAAAAAGUUAUAAAUUUAUUAAUUAAUUAAUGCAUUUUCGGACUGAUAUAUGAGGUGAACAAAUUAAAGUACAAUAAUCUGUAAAGACAAUAUGUUGGUGUACUCUUAUUGACCUUUUACUAUCUCUGCUUUGCUAUGACUAGAUUUAUACGAUGUGUGUAUUCACGGUUCUGUGGCAAAUUGAAUACUCUUAGAUGGCUUGUUGAAAGGUAAAUUGUUAUUUGCACUUCGGUAUUUAACCACGCCUCUAGGGCACACCUUGCCAGGUGUGACUGUCUAUUCGGAUCAGUGGAUUAUAAAACAAGGGAGCAUUCAAUAUACACAUCUAUAAUACUAAUUCAAGUUUCAAGUUUGUUACAAAUAAAAAUAGAUCGCCGUGGAAUUAUUUAAUUAUAUUUGCUGUAUCAUUUAUUUCAAUUCAAAUAAAUUAAUUUACUAAGUAAUAAAAUUUAAACAAUUUUCGGUUAAAGACGGGAAACUUAAUUCAUGUGUCAGAAUGAAAUGAUAUACACCUCUUGUCCUUGAUGUAUGUCUCAUUAAAAAGGGGAAUUAGAAAUAGCUUUACCAAAGCAUUUUGAUUUUCUUUAUUAGGCAAAAAAUGUACGAGAACACUUACAUUUAGACUUUUGAAAGCCAUGUAUUAAUGUAUAUCUGAAACUAUCUGAAGAUAAGUAGAUAAAUCUACCGAAGCGGAGUAUAAUAUGUACGAACAAAGAAAAAAUACUUUUGUUUUUAAAUCUUUGCACAUUCAUGAUUAAUUAUUGUUAUCUAUUACUCAUUCAAUUACUUAAUUGGUACCUAAAAUAUGUCUACCGCUUGGCAUUAAAACUCGGUGUAGUAGGAAGGGGUUUUAUUACAUAUACUAGAUUAUAUUAUUUGGAUGAGGAUUUGAGCUAUCCUAUAAAACACAUUUAUUAGUUAACUACAUUCGAGCCCAAAGGAUAUUAACUUAAAUGAUUCAAUUAACUUUACUCACAUAUUACUUAUAUUUCUAUCUUAUGAUUUUUGCGUGCUUGUUUUUAUAGAACAGUUUAUAUAUGGUCCAAAAAUUUAUCAUAAAAUCAUAAAUAAAAAUAUCUUGUUCGGAGAAUGAUAGUACUAUAACAGUGGUUCCAGUCAGUCAAAAGAGUCAGAUUUUGACGAGUAUGGUCAUAUUGGGUACGCACUAGAGCCAGGGUAUACCGAAGAAGAGCUCCAUAAAAUGGAAGCUGCAGAAAGUUCCCGAAAUCAAGAUAUCCUUAGCAACCAUCGCUAGUUUUUAAAACACAGAUUGGUGUUCGUGUACUAACUGCAUACUUAUGCCGUUAUUAACGGAAUGUCUAUGUUGCCACUAAUUUACUCUCUUUGAUCGUAAUAUUGAAUUGGGUGAAUGCAUAAGUAACAGCAUCGAUUUCAUAACAGUUUGUCUGAACCCGGUUGUUCUUGAAACUAACUAUAUAAGUUUUUUUUAAGUACAAUCGUAUUCAUAUUAUACAUGUUAAAUGAAUGAACAAAUAUUAAACCUAUCUGUUUAUUGUUUUCCGCCCAUGUCUGCUCAUCGCCCGGCAGAAAUAAAGUUUGUCGCACGAAAAAAUGGUGUUAAUUCCAGAGUCAAAAUUUAAAGAACUUAUUUUCCAUGUUUUCUGGUAUUGUUCGAAAGAGAAUUGACCUAACAGAAGAAUUACUAUCUUAGGCUGUCAGUAACACAUGUAGAGUAGUGGGUCGUUGUUGGACAUGCAAAUCUUAUAAAGUGUAUCAUCUGUUAAAUUUGCAGGUCACUGAAAGGGGAAGUUCCAUACGGAAGUAGGUUUUGAGAUUGAUUUUUUUUUAUAUCCAGUGACACAUUUUACAUGCGUAUUCUUGAACGUUUGAUACAUCAUUUACUCUCAAAUUGCAAAAAACGAAAACUUCCACUUGUAUUUAUAGUAUUUGUUGAAAUAGUCCUCGUCUCACAACGUAUAAUACUCUAUCUAUUUGACCAACGAUGUUCAAAAACAAAAGACAGCGAAUUUUAUGUCAUCUUUCCCUAUUUUUGAAUGUAACUUAUAAUAAGGCUGUUCAACUGGCAAGAAUACAGAGACAUAUAUACAUGUCUCUGCUAAAGCGAACAAGCAGUUUAUUCUUUAAAUUGCUAUCAUAUCACGGCAAGAAAGAAAAUAAAUCCCGAAAUUGAUUUGAAACUUUAAUACUCAAUAGUUUUCCUAGAAAAUACUCACACCCCUUUGGGAUUAUUAGUGUACGUCCAGUUGCAUAUAUUUUACAUGAAUGUCGGAACAAUUGUGAUGAUGACGAAUUUCUUCCUUUAUUCGAGAACAAUCUAAUUGAUACAUAAAACUGGGAUUUUACUAUGUUCAUAACUUCGAUGAACCAAAGCAAGAUAUAUAUCGACCUGUAUUUAAAUCAAACUGGUUCUCUUCUUCUUCUUCUUCUUCUUUUGGUAUACAAUAUAGUCUGAUACAUGUAUAUAUUUUUAAAUUGCACUAUAGUUCCGUAACUUUCUAUCCAGGCGUAUAAGCCAACAUCGACAAGUGCGUACAUUUUUUAAAUCAAUAUUUUUGGUAUGUACCAGUCUGUCCUUUUACUAUUGACAAAUUACAUUUUCCCAAAUUAACCCUCGGAAAAAAUAUGUAUAUAGAUUUUUAUUUCUUCAAAUCUUUUUUUUUUUUUGUGGUAUUUUUUAUAUUUUCAUAAAUAAUAUUCUUUACACCAGAAAUGUUAUUUAUAAACAAGCGUACGAGUUAAAUUAUUGGCAUCAUAUCACUUUCGGACACACAAGACAGAGAUGUGUAUUAUACACCUGAUAGUUCAAAAUGGAAAGUUAUAAGUCUGCCGUGUACACUGAUCAAUACCUACAGAAGUGAAACGAUGCAUGAACUUGCAAGCCCGACAGGAAAUCGCUUGAAUACCCGGACGUGUCACCUGAGUCCUCACACCCCUCACAAUACCUUUGGGAGUAAUACCUUUAGCCAUGCUGGUGAUCAGAUGAGGAAAGAUCCGAAUUUAUUUGAAUAAAGUUUAUUACUUUAAAGAAUUAUGAACGAAUUAGAUUUUUGAAAACAAUUUUCACGGAACACUUAUUUAUUAUUUGAACUGUGACUCUUUUAACUAAUUCCAAUAUUAACAGUUUAAAAAUAACAGAUAUAUAAUAAUGGUCAUUUAAAAAAAAAUAAGAACAUUUUCCGUAUCAAGUUUAUAGUUAGUCAGAUAAAACAAUCGUACGAUUGACAAGAUAUCGACACGCAAUUACGACUACAUCGGUUACUGUAGUUUUGGCUCUUUGUGUUUUAUAGACAUAUCGUGAUUAUAAUCGUAGAAGAUGACAGAAUGGCGGAGCGUAGAAAAUUGAUACUCAAUAUUUAAAAUCGAUGUUGAUCUCUUAUCUAGCGGAAUAAAACUUUAAUAUCUAUAAAUUUGAGCCUUUUUAUACAGAAUGGACAUAAUAUCAAUUUUUGAUUUUUUUGCGAAGUUUCCCUUUAAAGUCCAAAGGGUCCAAAAUUAAACUUAGUUUGAUUUUAACAAAAAUUGAAUCCUUGGGGUUCUUUGAUAUGCUGAAUCUAACUUAGAUGUAAGUUGGUAGAUAUGCUCUACUGUGUAUGUAGGGUCCCGUUUUCAAAUUGGUCUACAUUAAAUUCCAAAGGGUCCAAAAUUUAACUAAGUUUGAUUUUAACAAAAAUUGAAUUCUUGGGCUUUUUUUGAUAUGCUGAAUCUAAACAUAUACUUAGAUUUUUGAGAAUGGGCCCAGUUUUCAAGUUGGUUCAAAUCAGGAUCCAAAAUUAUUAUAUUAAGUAUUCAGCAAUAGCAAGAAAUCUUCAAUUGCACAGUAUUGUGCAAUAGCAAGCAAUUUUCAAUUGCACAGUAUUGCGCAAUAGCAAGAAAUCUUCAAUUGUACAGUAUUGCGCAAUAGCAAGAAAUAUGUAAUUGCACAAUAUUGUGCAAAAGCAAGAAAUUUUCAAUUGGAGUUAUCUUUCUUUGUCCAGAAUAGUAGUUGAAUCAACUUAAAUCAUUGUUUUAUACAAUAUACAAUGUAUAUUCACUUUUACUACCAACUGAUAAAUUAAAACAAUCUUUACCAUUCAGUGAUAACAAGCACUUUAUUUUACAUUUUAAUAUUUUAUGAUGUAUUUAAAUGAGUAGUUAUUGUUGCAAACUCCAUUAGGAAUUGGAAUUGAGAUCAGUUUUGGAAAAAGGGAAAGGGGGGAUGUGAAAAAAAAUGGGGGGGGGGUUAAAUUUUUCUCAUUUCAGAUUUCAUAAAUAAAAAGAAAAUUUCUUCGAACAUUUUUUUGAGAGGAUUAAUAUUCAACAGCAUAGUGAAUUGCUCAAAGGCAAAAAAAAUAUUUUAAGUUCAUUAGACCACAUUCAUUCUGUGUCAGAAACCUAUGCUGUGUCAACUAUUUAAUCACAAUCCAAAUUUAGAGCUGAAUCCAGCUUAAAUGUUGUGUCCAUACUUGCCCCAACUGUUCAGGGUUCAACCUCUGCGGUCGUAUAUAGCUGCGCCUUGCGGAGCAUCUGGUUCUAGUUUCCAGACAAUACCUUGUGUGUAAUUGCAUGGAUCGCUCUGAAAUUGUACCACAGUGUACCAUAUAACAAAGGGGAGGCUGGGAUUAAGUUUUGGGUUAAUUGCCCAAAAAUGUAGGAAUUAAGGGCCAAAAAGGGCCAAAAGAAGCAUGUUUCUAGUUUCCAAACAAUCAUGACAAUAACUUGUGUUUAAGUGUAUGGAUCUCUCUGAAAUCGUACUACAAGGUUCAAUAUUACAAAGGAAAGCAUGGGAUUGAGUUUAAGGGUUAUUGCUCCAAGGGGGGGUUUCAAUAAAUUGGGGGGGAUCUCAGUUUACCAUUUUUUGUAAGGAUAUUUUUUUUUUUUUUUUUCAACAUUUUUCAAAUUUCAAAUUUUUGAAAAGUUUCAAUAAGAAAUAUUCAAUUGCACAGUAUUGUGCAAUAGGUGUGUUAGAUCUUGAACCACAUUAAUUUUGUGGCAAAAACCUAUAUUAUGUCAAAAAUUUGAUCACAAUCAAAAUUCAGACGGUAUGAAGCUUGAAUAUUGUGACCAAAUUUGCCCCAACUGUUCAGGGUUCGACCACUGGGGUCGUAUAAAGCUGCGCCCUGUGGAGCACCUGGUUUCCUUUUGGAACUUAUAUUAUUAAUUAAAAGGAACUUCUAUUCCGUGACACUGUAACUACUGAACUUCUAUUCCGUGACACUGUAACUACUGAACUAAGGCGGCUGACAUUGUGCAUGUUGUGAAUUACUGAAUGUAUUGACCAUGUUGACAUGUAAUUUCUACAUAUACAAUAAUCAGCAAAAAAAAACUCACAUGUUGCACCUAAAAGUCUUCUUUUUAUCAAAUUUUAUUACAUUCUGAAAUGGCCAAGAAGCCAGAAAACACUCAGUGUUUACAUGUAUGUUUGGCACCGGAAGCAUACUUGUGACGUCACUUAGUUUAGGGACCAAAGAAGAUAACAUCUUUGCACAUAAUUUUCUUUAAUGAAAAUUUUACACUGAAAUAAUGAUUGAAAUUUUAUUAUGAAUUUGUUUUGCAUGAGAAAAGAGAUAACUGUAUUGUAUUUGAAGCUUUGCGGACGUCCAUUGGUAGUUUUACUGUCGCAAAUACCUGUUUACCUGUCUCCACUACAUGUACAUGCACCAGGUAAACUAAAUUUCUGACAGAAAACUACCGAUGGACGUCUACAAAGCUUGAAAUACAAUACAGUUAUCUCUCAAUUACGUAUUGUCUGAAUGUGUGGAGAAUGUAAAUAAAAUUUAUUGAAAGAAUUUUCUAUAUGGAAGUUCAGUCUCCAAAGAGCAAAUGAAUAGUGAAAUACACCAUCAGGCCAUUCAUUAGGAGGCGGUACCCGGUACUUUUACCCUCCUAUGCUAUUGACAAGAACCGCCUAAAUGUAGAAAUUUUUGUAUAAGAUAUUCAUGGAAUCAAUUAAAAAGUACCACCUAGAAACGUGGAAAGUACCAGUCAACAUGAAAGAUAAUGAAACCACUGACCAUGAAAUGAUAUCUUUAAACAUUAUUUACUUGCAAACAUGAUUGAUAAUCUGAGUAGAUGUAUAUAACUGGGUCAGUUUAAGUGUUACCCUUCUAAAUUCUUCCUACUAGUAUACCAUGUAUACUCUUAAAGGUCUUGUAUAUAAAUGUAAGAAUUGUUAAGGAUAUUCUGGGACCAAUCUAAGGCAGGGGUUAGCUGUGAACAUGGUGGAAGAGGAAAAGGUUUGUUUUCUGAUUUGUUUAUUCUCAAUGGAUUGUUGUCAUUUUUCUAUCUGGUAAUAAUAUCAUAUGCAGAUUUGUUGGAAAUUGUAUGACUUACAAUAUGGUGGUAGCAUCCCUCAACAGAACAGGAACAGGCUAGGGUAUAAUGGGGAAUUCUUUUAAAAAAAUGUUAACAAUAUUAGGUUCAUAAGCUAUUGUAUUGAUUUUGAUUUUUUUUCUUACUGUUAUUCAGGACUUCUUCCUCAUAUUACUUUUCUGGUAUCAUAUAAAAACUUAUUAAAAGUAUGAGACCGGUGUCACUACAUAUAGAUGACCUUCCUAAGGUUAUUGUUGCAUGUUUGUUUUAUUUAUUAUUAUUUUUUCAGGCAAUUUGAUGCUGCUUAAUUAGCAAUGGAGGAUAUAAACAUUAAAGUUGAGCCUGUAGAAUUAGAGACGUUAGAAAAACCACUGACAAGAGAACCACUUAAAAAGUCCAGAAAAAUAGACUGGAAUAAAAGGGUCAAGUCAGAAUUCCUUAGAAUUCAUAAUCUGAAGCGCUUCAAAAGAGCUGAUGAAGUUACGG